RNAcentral lists this ribosomal RNA (254 nucleotides) under uncultured bacterium. RNAcentral describes it as "partial 16S ribosomal RNA". It matches the Rfam family "Bacterial small subunit ribosomal RNA", at positions 524 to 776 of the family's 1533-position model. The record is from RNAcentral.
UACGGGGGGAGCAAGCGUUGUUCGGAUUUACUGGGCGUAAAGGGCGCGUAGGCGGCCACCGCAAGUCGGUUGUGAAAUCUCCGGGCUUAACCCGGAAAGGUCAAUCGAUACUGCGGGGCUAGAGUGCAGAAGGGGCAACUGGAAUUCUCGGUGUAGCGGUGAAAUGCGUAGCUAUCGAGAGGAACACCUGCGGCGAAGGCGGGUUGCUGGGCUGACACUGACGCUGAAGCGCGAAAGCUAGGGGAGCGAACGGG